RNAcentral lists this long non-coding RNA (3096 nucleotides) under Ananas comosus (pineapple). RNAcentral describes it as "long non-coding RNA (ACOM_LNC008056)". Lineage: Eukaryota; Viridiplantae; Streptophyta; Magnoliopsida; Poales; Bromeliaceae. The record is from RNAcentral.
UUUAUUUUAUUUGCACUUUGAUGUUUUAUUAUUUAUUAUUUAUUAUUUGUUAUUUUAUUUAUUUACUACUUUAUUUAUUUUAUUUUAUUUAAUUAUUUUAUUAUCUUUCUUAAUGAGAAAGAAACUAACGGAAUAUUUUCCGUUCCGUUUCUUUCGCAUUACGUUGGGCGGGUUCCGCUUCUCUCUCGUAAGAGAAAAAGCGUUAAAUCCCCUUUCUCUUUUCCUCCUCUGGAAUAAAACAGAGCAGGUAGAAAAGAUUUUUGAUCAUUGGUUAAUCUCUAUCCUUUUAUUCUUUUAUCUUUCAUUUUUGAACAUUCCCCUUAUCCACUGGGUGUUGAGAAUCUUCGUCAACCUCCUUCACUGAUCGUGCUCGCAAAGGAGGAGAAUUCGGUCGUACCUUGGGUGUUAUUUCCUUAAUUCCGCACGUAAGGACGGGAAUACGCUUAAGGGCAGUGCCCAUCGCACGUUCCGGAUAAGAUCAUAUCUUUAUUGGAAUAUUUGCGUCAUCUGUAAGUUUGAUUUUAUUUAUUGUUAUCACAAAAUUAGUUAGAUUUUAAUCACAAAUUAGAUUCCUAUGCGAUUAUUUUGUUCCAACAAUCUAAGGCGUAUAUCCCUAUCUGAUUGUGAUUAAAAUCUGACGGUGCUAAUCUAUUAAAAUAUAUACAUAUAUAUUUUUGCAUAUAAUUUUGUUUGACAACUUUGGUAUGCUUGUCAUUCAAAUUUAAAUAAAUUGGGAUUAGCAUUUUUAAUUUCUAAUUGAUAUUGUUUAUCUGCAAAUUAUUAUCUUUUCUUAUUAUUAUUAAUUUUUUUUUACCGUACGGAUCCGAAACGUGGAUUUUUUUUUGCUACAGUAAUGAAAUUUAUUUAUGUACUGUGUUUGAGUUUGCUAUUGUAAACCCUAAAAAAAAAAAAUUUUUACUGUUUUGUUAUAAAAUUUUUUUUUUAAAAAAAACACUUGUACGGAUUAAAAAUUUUUGCUACUGUAAUUGUUUUUUAAGUGUGCGGUUUCUUUUUAAGUUUAAGUUUAAUUUAUUUAUAUAAAUAUACUAUUUUUUGAGAAAAAAUAUAUAUAGAUAUAUUUACUGUUUUAUAAAAAAAAAAAACUGUGGAAUUAUAUUGUUUCAAUACAGACAUUGUACGGAUUGUUUUAAAAAAAAAACUGCUACAGUACAUACAUUUAAAAAGUUAAACAAGUUUGCCACAGUGAAAAAAUUUUUUAAGUGUAAGGAUUUUCAUUAAAGUUUUAAAUUAAAAAAAAAAAAAGGAUUUUGCUACAGUAAAAUUACUUUAUUGUUGACGGUUUCAAAGUUUUUGCUACAGCAAAUAAAGCCCUUUGAAGAAAAAAAAAAUCCCUUUAAGUAGGACUCGAAACCGACAACCAGCGUUCACUUGUUUUAUAAAUGAAUAUUCUAACCAUCAACCAGUUCAUUAGUGUUGUCUCUUAUACUGUAUCAGCUCUAUUUAUAAUUUGUUUGCCGCAUAAAGAGUGUUUGAUUGUAUAUAUCUGUUCAAAAUUACUUAAAUGAAAUCAAACAUUUAAAUUGUUUGGUACAUUUAUUUGCUGUUGAAUCAAACUUUAUUCAACAUGAUUAAAUCUCGUGAUUUUAAAUUUUAGUGUAUCUCAGAAAUUGUGGGGGGAGCGCCUUUAUCAGUUUGAUAAAUUUUGAUAUUAUAAUUGCUCUCGUGAUUUUAUCCUAAUGUUCAUCUUGGAAACGAAUUUUGCAAAUUCUAAGAUUGGGAGGUAAAUUAUUUUGAGACAUAAAUUUAUUAGAUGGUUAUUUUCAUAAUAUUACUUAUUUGAUUUUAUCAGAUCUGAACAGAACUUUGCAGAUUAUUUGACGAACGGCCUGAAUAGGACUAAGGUCCUGAAGUCAUCGAGGGGGAUGGGACUUGCCCGUAAUGGGCCUUCCUGCAGUGGGAACCCAACCUUUGUGAUAGGAGAUCCCUUGAAGAAGGUUCAAUGUGGUAAAAACAAGCUGUCAGGUUGGCCAAGAGCACUUUCUACAAAUUUUAUAAAUGAGCUUUAGCUCCAAUCCCAUCCCUAUGGUGAGUAGUGUUCUGUGUAGUGGAUCAGGUUGAGCUGAGAGCUCUUAAUGGGAUCCAAGGCGAUAAUUUUCGCGAGAUGUGACUCUACACACAUCCCUGGAGGAAACCACCUAUAUAAGAGUAUCCGUAUGUGGCCGCGGCUAUGUGAAUGGGCUAUACAUAGAAACUCUUAUGAAAAAUCAAGGUACUGUGCAUGGCCAUUAACGCACAGACCCGCGACGGAGAAUUCUGUACUGUGUGUGUGGUAGUUGAAGUCAGGGCCAAAGGAACGUAGUUCAAGACCUGGUUCACUCCGAUUCCUUCUGAUGGAAACUAUUUACACUAAGUGAGGUUAAGUUUUUUAAAAACACCUCACCCAUUGCAUAGUAUAAAACACCCAGUAAAUUUGAUUUUAAUUCGUAAUUUUAAAAUUUUGAGUUUUGUGGGGGAUUGUUGGUGAAAAACUCAAAAUUUUGAGUUUGAAUUUAUUUUAUUUGAACUUUAAAUUAUUUAUUAUUUAUUUAUGAUUCUAUUUAUUUACUACUUAGAAAGAAACUAACGGAAUAUUUUCCGUUCCGUUUCUUUCGCAUUACGUUGGGCGGAUUCCGCUUCUCUCUCGUAAGAGAAAAAGCGUUAAAUCCCCUUUCUCUUUUCCUCCUCUGAUAUAACAGAGCAGGUAGAAAAGAUUUUUGAUCAUUGGUUAAUCUCUAUCCUUUUAUUCUUUUAUCUCUCAUUUUUGAACAUUCCCCUUAUCCUUAUCCACUGGGCGUUGAGAAUCUCCGUCAACCUCCUUCACGAUCGUGCUCGCAGAAUGAGGAAUUCUGGUCGUACCUUGGGGUGUUAUUUCCGGUUAAUCCCGCACGUAAGGACGGGAAUACGCCUUAGGGCAGUGCCUCGCACGCUUCCGGAUUAAUAUGUUGAUAUUCUUUUUCCACAAUUUUGGGAUUUAGCGAUUAUCUGUGAGUUGAUUUAUUUGCGUUUAUCUGUAUGUUUGUUUGUUUUUAUUUUUAUUUUUAUCACAAAGUUAGUUAGAUUUUAAUUGCAAUCGGAUUCCUAUGCGAUAUUUGUUCC